RNAcentral lists this ribosomal RNA (496 nucleotides) under uncultured bacterium. Its description in RNAcentral is "partial 16S ribosomal RNA". It matches the Rfam family "Bacterial small subunit ribosomal RNA", at positions 30 to 523 of the family's 1533-position model. The record is from RNAcentral.
AUUGAACGCUGGCGGAAUGCUUUACACAUGCAAGUCGAACGGUAGAGGGGGCAACCCCUCGAGAGUGGCGAACGGGUGAGUAAUAUAUCGGAACGUGCCCAGUCGUGGGGGAUAACGUAGCGAAAGUUACGCUAAUACCACAUACGAUCUACGGAUGAAAGCGGGGGAUCGCAAGACCUCGCGCGAUUGGAGCGGCCGAUAUCAGAUUAGGUAGUUGGUGGGGUAAAGGCUCACCAAGCCAACGAUCUGUAGCUGGUCUGAGAGGACGACCAGCCACACUGGAACUGAGACACGGUCCAGACUCCUACGGGAGGCAGCAGUGGGGAAUUUUGGACAAUGGACGCAAGUCUGAUCCAGCCAUUCCGCGUGCAGGAUGAAGGCCCUCGGGUUGUAAACUGCUUUUGUACGGAACGAAAAGGUUUCCAUUAAUACUGGGAGCUCAUGACGGUACCGUAAGAAUAAGCACCGGCUAACUACGUGCCAGCAGCCGCAGUAA